GAUCUGGCUCAGAACGAACGCUGGCGGCAGGCUUAACACAUGCAAGUUGAACGGGAUUUGUGUGGUGCUUGCACCAUAUAAUGAGAGUAGCGCACUGGUGAGUAACACGUGGGAACGUACCUUUUGGUGGGGGACAACAUCUGGAAACGGAUGCUAAUACCGCAUAAGACCUGAGGGUGAAAGAUUUAUCGCCGAAAGAACGGCCCGCGGAAGAUUAGGCAGUUGGUGGGGUAAAGGCCUACCAAACCUACAAU
RNAcentral lists this ribosomal RNA (254 nucleotides) under uncultured bacterium. Its description in RNAcentral is "partial 16S ribosomal RNA". It matches the Rfam family "Bacterial small subunit ribosomal RNA", at positions 15 to 280 of the family's 1533-position model. The record is from RNAcentral.